CGGAAAACGAUUUGGAUUUGUAAAGGACUCUUGGUCGAUAUUUUACCAUUCUAUUAAGGAAACAUUGCCGGAGAGUCUAAGAAAGACGAGUAGGCGUACAAGUCUUUUCCACUUUCACAUAACAAGCCAGUUAUUUAGAGAACCAUGGACAACCAAGGAAGUCAAAGCUCUGGAGAAAAUGCACAGCCCAAAAAUCCGAUGACUAAAGAAGAUGCGGCAAGGAUUCAGAGUUCAGAAGCAAAACAGCAUGGCGGCGGGGUUCCAAAAGGAGGCUUUUCAUCGCGAGCUCAGUCUACUGCAGACAAGCGGGAAAACCAGAAGAACUAAAUGCCUGUGGAACUGCCUUUUAAUUCAAAGGGGGCAUGAUUUCGUACAUUAAAAUUUGUGAGAGACAUUUAGUCAUUGUUUAAUCUUUAAAAGUAGGAUUGUCCUUAAACUACGAUUCGAAUUUCUUGCUGAAUAAUCAUCAUCUACUUGUAGUCGUAGCAGUUUAUCUGACUAUUUAGAGAAAUGAGUGAAGUACAAUGGAAGCAACUGAAAUAAAGUGGUUAUCUAAAAAUGUUACCAGCCGA
Molecule: long non-coding RNA, 572 nt
Organism: Stylophora pistillata
Lineage: Eukaryota; Metazoa; Cnidaria; Anthozoa; Scleractinia; Pocilloporidae
Source: RefSeq, a predicted model, not a curated record